UUUAAAGAGAGUUUGAUCCUGGCUCAGGACGAACGCUGGCGGCGUGCCUAAUACAUGCAAGUCGAACGAACGGACGAAGAGCUUGCUCUUCCAAAGUUAGUGGCGGACGGGUGAGUAACACGUGGGCAACCUGCCUGUAAGUUGGGGAUAACUCCGGGAAACCGGGGCUAAUACCGAAUGAUAAAGUGUGGCGCAUGCCACG
RNAcentral lists this ribosomal RNA (202 nucleotides) under Listeria monocytogenes. RNAcentral's name for it is "partial 16S ribosomal RNA". It matches the Rfam family "Bacterial small subunit ribosomal RNA", at positions 1 to 197 of the family's 1533-position model. Lineage: Bacteria; Bacillati; Bacillota; Bacilli; Caryophanales; Listeriaceae. The record is from RNAcentral.